UAUGCGGGAUGAUGCCGUUACUGUGAAUAAUAUUCUUAUAUAUCUUAUUCUUUUUGCGGAUGACACUGUUUUGUUUGGAAAAUCACCAGAAUUAUUGCAAGAACUUUUAGAUAAAUUAUUGAAAUACUGUCAUAAGUGGAACAUUGAAGUUAAUACUGAAAAACAAAAGUUAUAGUAUUUAGAAAUGGAUGGCAACCAGUAAGUGCCAGAUUCUUCUACGACAAUAAAGAGCUACAAAUAGUAAAUUCCUGUAUAUAUCUUGGAAUGAUGUUUUAUUUUAAUGGAAA
Molecule: long non-coding RNA, 287 nt
Filed under: Mytilus galloprovincialis (Mediterranean mussel)
Lineage: Eukaryota; Metazoa; Mollusca; Bivalvia; Mytilida; Mytilidae
Source: RNAcentral